This is a long non-coding RNA of Etheostoma spectabile (orangethroat darter), 578 nucleotides long. RefSeq lists it as uncharacterized. The record is from RefSeq and is a predicted model, not a curated record. Lineage: Eukaryota; Metazoa; Chordata; Actinopteri; Perciformes; Percidae. The transcript is spliced from 3 exons.
UAAGGCAUUUGUUGUGAAAUGGUGUUGCGACUCCUUUAAGAGAGCUCAGUGAGUGUGGGUCUGUGUGUGUGGAAAUUGGACAGAAGAGAGAUAGAGAAAGAGGAAGCAGAUGUGUAGAUACUACUGGAGCAGAGUUGGUGGAAUAAGUUUAAGUUUUGUACGCAGUGUGUGCAGCGUCCAAAAUAAACCCCAGACUGAAAGCCAAGUUCAUGUUUGCUCACCAGAAACGGGAUUUUAACCCCAAAGUUAUUCAUCUUACAACAUCAGCCCUGGAGGUAACGUGUCUCCCCUGGUUUUCUGAUCACGGUUGGAAACGAAGCAAGCAGGAAAGGUUAACAUUUUAAAUUAAACAGCUUAUUAACAUGCGCUUGUUGCCCUAUGUGCGCGGAUGUGCUCAUCUGUUGACAUUUCUGAAUGUCUUCCCACAGCUGCUUAAUAAAUGCGGGCUUUCCACACAUACAAACUUGUCAUAAAAAUGCGGGAAAAAAAAUAUUUUUACUGUUUCGGGCUCGGACAUAAAUAUCUUAAUGCCUGUCAGGCUCUGGCCGGGUUCGGUUACUUCUCUUACUGCAGUCGGU